RNAcentral lists this ribosomal RNA (253 nucleotides) under uncultured bacterium. RNAcentral describes it as "partial 16S ribosomal RNA". It matches the Rfam family "Bacterial small subunit ribosomal RNA", at positions 524 to 776 of the family's 1533-position model. The record is from RNAcentral.
UACGUAUGGUGCAAGCGUUAAUCGGAAUUACUGGGCGUAAAGCGUGCGCAGGCGGUGAUGUAAGACAGUUGUGAAAUCCCCGGGCUCAACCUGGGAACUGCAUCUGUGACUGCAUUGCUGGAGUGCGGCAGAGGGGGAUGGAAUUCCGCGUGUAGCAGUGAAAUGCGUAGAUAUGCGGAGGAACACCGAUGGCGAAGGCAAUCCCCUGGGCCUGCACUGACGCUCAUGCACGAAAGCGUGGGGAGCAAACAGG